AUUUAUGUAGUUUAAAAAAAACAUUACAUUUUCACUGUAAAGAUAAAAUUAUUUUUCAUAAAUA
This 64-nucleotide transfer RNA is filed under the name Blattella bisignata (double-striped cockroach). RNAcentral describes it as "tRNA-Glu". It matches the Rfam family "tRNA". From Rfam's summary of the family: Transfer RNA (tRNA) molecules are approximately 80 nucleotides in length. Their secondary structure includes four short double-helical elements and three loops (D, anti-codon, and T loops). The record is from RNAcentral. Lineage: Eukaryota; Metazoa; Arthropoda; Insecta; Blattodea; Blattellidae.